AAAGCUUCCGAUAUAGACGAAGUGUUUACUCGACAAAAUUUAAGACUUAGAUUUAUUUUGUGUUUUUAGUUGAGUUAGGUUAGUUGGAGAUUGCUUGGUGUGGAAGCAAUCUCAACCUAUAAAUACGAAGGUACCCUAUCAUUGAAAUGAUAUAAAUUUUCAUAGAGAAAAGAUUGAAUAAAAACUUAAGUUUGAAGGCAGAGAGAAACUCUG
Molecule: long non-coding RNA, 213 nt
Filed under: Lathyrus oleraceus (garden pea)
Lineage: Eukaryota; Viridiplantae; Streptophyta; Magnoliopsida; Fabales; Fabaceae
Description: Pisum sativum (pea) long non-coding RNA (PSAT_LNC017562)
Source: RNAcentral